GACGGGGGGGGCAAGCGUUGUUCGGAAUUACUGGGCGUAAAGGGCUCGUAGGCGGCCAACUAAGUCAGACGUGAAAUCCCUCGGCUUAACCGGGGAACUGCGUCUGAUACUGGUAUGGCUCGAGUCCGGUAGGGGACCACGGAAUUCCUGGUGUAGCGGUGAAAUGCGCAGAUAUCAGGAGGAACACCGGUGGCGAAGGCGGUGGUCUGGGCCGGCACUGACGCUGAGGAGCGAAAGCGUGGGGAGCGAACAGG
This 254-nucleotide ribosomal RNA is filed under the name uncultured bacterium. RNAcentral describes it as "partial 16S ribosomal RNA". It matches the Rfam family "Bacterial small subunit ribosomal RNA", at positions 524 to 776 of the family's 1533-position model. The record is from RNAcentral.